CAGGAUCACUGGUGGGUGCACAGAU
RNAcentral lists this unclassified non-coding RNA (25 nucleotides) under Mus musculus (house mouse). RNAcentral's name for it is "oocyte_clustered_small_RNA5005". Lineage: Eukaryota; Metazoa; Chordata; Mammalia; Rodentia; Muridae. The record is from RNAcentral.